Molecule: ribosomal RNA, 1530 nt
Filed under: Vibrio cholerae
Lineage: Bacteria; Pseudomonadati; Pseudomonadota; Gammaproteobacteria; Vibrionales; Vibrionaceae
Description: partial 23S ribosomal RNA
Rfam family: Bacterial large subunit ribosomal RNA
Source: RNAcentral
GUUGUAUGGUUAAGUGACUAAGCGUACACGGUGGAUGCCUGGGCAGUCAGAGGCGAUGAAGGACGUACUAACUUGCGAUAAGCGCAGAUAAGGCAGUAAGAGCCGUUUGAGUCUGCGAUUUCCGAAUGGGGAAACCCAACUGCAUAAGCAGUUACUGUUAACUGAAUACAUAGGUUAACAGAGCAAACCGGGGGAACUGAAACAUCUAAGUACCCCGAGGAGAAGAAAUCAACCGAGAUUCCGGUAGUAGCGGCGAGCGAACCUGGAUUAGCCCUUAAGCACUCGGUGAAGUAGGUGAACAAGCUGGAAAGCUUGGCGAUACAGGGUGAUAGCCCCGUAACCGACGCUUCAUCGAGCGUGAAAUCGAGUAGGGCGGGACACGUGAUAUCCUGUCUGAAUAUGGGGGGACCAUCCUCCAAGGCUAAAUACUCCUGACUGACCGAUAGUGAACCAGUACCGUGAGGGAAAGGCGAAAAGAACCCCUGUGAGGGGAGUGAAAUAGAACCUGAAACCGUGUACGUACAAGCAGUAGGAGCACCUUCGUGGUGUGACUGCGUACCUUUUGUAUAAUGGGUCAGCGACUUAUAUUCAGUGGCAAGGUUAACCGUAUAGGGGAGCCGUAGCGAAAGCGAGUCUUAACUGGGCGCUCAGUCUCUGGAUAUAGACCCGAAACCGGGUGAUCUAGCCAUGGGCAGGUUGAAGGUUGAGUAACAUCAACUGGAGGACCGAACCGACUAAUGUUGAAAAAUUAGCGGAUGACUUGUGGCUAGGGGUGAAAGGCCAAUCAAACUCGGAGAUAGCUGGUUCUCCCCGAAAGCUAUUUAGGUAGCGCCUCGGACGAAUACUACUGGGGGUAGAGCACUGUUAAGGCUAGGGGGUCAUCCCGACUUACCAACCCUUUGCAAACUCCGAAUACCAGUAAGUACUAUCCGGGAGACACACGGCGGGUGCUAACGUCCGUCGUGGAGAGGGAAACAACCCAGACCGCCAGCUAAGGUCCCAAAGUAUUGCUAAGUGGGAAACGAUGUGGGAAGGCUCAGACAGCUAGGAUGUUGGCUUAGAAGCAGCCAUCAUUUAAAGAAAGCGUAAUAGCUCACUAGUCGAGUCGGCCUGCGCGGAAGAUGUAACGGGGCUAAGCAAUACACCGAAGCUGCGGCAAUGUCUUUUAGACAUUGGGUAGGGGAGCGUUCUGUAAGCCGUUGAAGGUGAAUCGUAAGGUUUGCUGGAGGUAUCAGAAGUGCGAAUGCUGACAUGAGUAACGACAAAGGGGGUGAAAAACCUCCUCGCCGGAAGACCAAGGGUUCCUGUCCAACGUUAAUCGGGGCAGGGUGAGUCGACCCCUAAGGUGAGGCCGAAAGGCGUAAUCGAUGGGAAACGGGUUAAUAUUCCCGUACUUCUGACUAUUGCGAUGGGGGGACGGAGAAGGCUAGGUGGGCCAGGCGACGGUUGUCCUGGUUCAAGUGCGUAGGCUUGAGAGUUAGGUAAAUCCGGCUCUCUUUAAGGCUGAGACACGACGUCGAGCUACUACGG